CCUACGGGGUGCAGCAGUGAGGAAUAUUGGUCAAUGGACGCAAGUCUGAACCAGCCAUGCCGCGUGCAGGAAGACGGCUCUAUGAGUUGUAAACUUCUUUUAUAUGGGAAUAAAAUGUUCCACGUGUGGGAUUUUGUAUGUACCAUAUGAAUAAGGAUCGGCUAACUCCGUGCCAGCAGCCGCGGUAAUACGGAGGAUCCGAGCGUUAUCCGGAUUUAUUGGGUUUAAAGGGAGCGUAGGUGGAUUGUUAAGUCAGUUGUGAAAGUUUGCGGCUCAACCGUAAAAUUGCAGUUGAAACUGGCAGUCUUGAGUACAGUAGAGGUAGGCGGAAUUCGUGGUGUAGCGGUGAAAUGCUUAGAUAUCACGAAGAACUCCGAUUGCGAAGGCAGCUCACUGGACUGCAACUGACACUGAGGCUCGAAAGUGUGGGUAUCAAACAGGAUUAGAUACCCUAGUAGUC
This 460-nucleotide ribosomal RNA is filed under the name uncultured bacterium. RNAcentral describes it as "partial 16S ribosomal RNA". It matches the Rfam family "Bacterial small subunit ribosomal RNA", at positions 338 to 795 of the family's 1533-position model. The record is from RNAcentral.